Molecule: transfer RNA, 74 nt
Filed under: Arboricoccus pini
Lineage: Bacteria; Pseudomonadati; Pseudomonadota; Alphaproteobacteria; Geminicoccales; Geminicoccaceae
Description: Arboriscoccus pini tRNA
Rfam family: tRNA
About the family: Transfer RNA (tRNA) molecules are approximately 80 nucleotides in length.
Source: Rfam by way of RNAcentral
CGGAGUGUAGCUCAGCCUGGUAGAGCACUGCGUUCGGGACGCAGGGGUCGCAGGUUCAAAUCCUGCCACUCCGA